This 369-nucleotide ribosomal RNA is filed under the name Triticum aestivum (bread wheat). RNAcentral describes it as "partial small subunit ribosomal RNA". The record is from RNAcentral. Lineage: Eukaryota; Viridiplantae; Streptophyta; Magnoliopsida; Poales; Poaceae.
AUGCGCGACUGUCUGCGCUUUCCGCCGGCGCCGGAGCCGACGCCGAUGGACCGCCCGCUGCACUGUGACCCCGCGCGGCAGCCUCGCUCCAGCAACAAGGUGAUCAUGGCGACUCCGGCCCUCGAGCGCGACGAGUUCAUCCUACGCCAGCACGUCGUCACGCUCACCGCGCAUGAUCGCCGCCACUCCUCCAACCCCAUGGCGGUCGACAAGGCCAUCUUCGAGCAACUCAGCACUCCGGCCCACCUGCUCCGCGUCACCGCACACCACCUGGAGGCCUUCCUCGUCCACUUCGACCUCCCCGCGCACUGGGACGACGCGGUGCGGCGCUGCGUGCUCAAGGUCGACGGCGGCAAGUACUUCGUCUGA